Small nucleolar RNA from Amaranthus tricolor (Joseph's coat), 96 nucleotides. RefSeq annotates it as small nucleolar RNA Z103. Lineage: Eukaryota; Viridiplantae; Streptophyta; Magnoliopsida; Caryophyllales; Amaranthaceae. The transcript has a single exon. The record is from RefSeq and is a predicted model, not a curated record.
AUGGAAAUGAUGAUUAUUUCCCCAGAUGAUCGACGUUGAAAUAACUGAGCUAUUAUGUUCUCAUACUUGAGAACUCAAGCCAGAUUUCUGAUUCAU